GCAUUCAGUUGGGCACUCUAGAGGGACUGCCGGUGUCAAACCGGAGGAAGGUGGGAUGACGUCAAGUCCUCAUGGCCUUUAUGUCUAGGGCUACACACGUACUACAAUGGCCGGUACAAAGGGCAGCCACUCAGCGAUGAGGCGCUAAUCCCAUAAAGCCGGUCUCAGUCCGGAUCGCAGUCUGCAACUCGACUGCGUGAAGUUGGAAUCGCUAGUAAUCGUAGAUCAGCAUGCUACGGUGAAUACGUUCCCGGGCCUU
This 259-nucleotide ribosomal RNA is filed under the name uncultured Desulfovibrio sp. RNAcentral describes it as "partial 16S ribosomal RNA". It matches the Rfam family "Bacterial small subunit ribosomal RNA", at positions 1121 to 1382 of the family's 1533-position model. Lineage: Bacteria; Pseudomonadati; Thermodesulfobacteriota; Desulfovibrionia; Desulfovibrionales; Desulfovibrionaceae. The record is from RNAcentral.